GAUGAACGCUGGCGGCGUGCCUAAUACAUGCAAGUCGAGCGAACGGACGAGAAGCUUGCUUUUCUGAUGUUAGCGGCGGACGGGUGAGUAACACGUGGAUAACCUACCUAUAAGACUGGGAUAACUUCGGGAAACCGGAGCUAAUACCGGAUAAUAUUUUGAACCGCAUGGUUCAAAAGUGAAAGACGGUCUUGCUGUCACUUAUAGAUGGAUCCGCGCUGCAUUAGCUAGUUGGUAAGGUAACGGCUUACCAAGGCAACGAUGCAUAGCCGACCUGAGAGGGGGAUCGGCCACACUGGAACGGGGACACGGUCCAGACUCCUACGGGAGGCAGCAGUAGGGAAUCUUCCGCAAUGGGCGAAAGCCUGACGGAGCAACGCCGCGUGAGUGAUGAAGGUCUUCGGAUCGUAAAACUCUGUUAUUAGGGAAGAACAUAUGUGUAAGUAACUGUGCACAUCUUGACGGUACCUAAUCAGAAAGCCACGGCUAACUACGUG
RNAcentral lists this ribosomal RNA (497 nucleotides) under uncultured bacterium. RNAcentral describes it as "partial 16S ribosomal RNA". It matches the Rfam family "Bacterial small subunit ribosomal RNA", at positions 28 to 507 of the family's 1533-position model. The record is from RNAcentral.